GAUGAACGCUGGCGGCGUGCCUAAUACAUGCAAGUCGAGCGAACAGACGAGGAGCUUGCUCCUCUGACGUUAGCGGCGGACGGGUGAGUAACACGUGGAUAACCUACCUAUAAGACUGGGAUAACUUCGGGAAACCGGAGCUAAUACCGGAUAAUAUAUUGAACCGCAGGGUGCAAUAGUGAAAGACGGUUUUGCUGUCACUUAUAGAUGGAUCCGCGCCGCAUUAGCUAGUUGGUAAGGUAACGGCUUACCAAGGCAACGAUGCGUAGCCGACCUGAGAGGGUGAUCGGCCACACUGGAACUGAGACACGGUCCAGACUCCUACGGGAGGCAGCAGUAGGGAAUCUUCCGCAAUGGGCGCAAGCCUGACGGAGCAACGCCGCGUGAGUGAUGAAGGUCUUCGGAUCGUAAAACUCUGUUAUUAGGGAAGAACAACUGUGUGAGUAACUCUGCCCGUCUUGACGGUACCUAAUCAGAAAGCCCCGGCUAACUACGUG
Molecule: ribosomal RNA, 497 nt
Filed under: uncultured bacterium
Lineage: Bacteria
Description: partial 16S ribosomal RNA
Rfam family: Bacterial small subunit ribosomal RNA
Source: RNAcentral